Non-coding RNA from Cherax quadricarinatus, 1272 nucleotides. The record is from RefSeq and is a predicted model, not a curated record. Lineage: Eukaryota; Metazoa; Arthropoda; Malacostraca; Decapoda; Parastacidae.
UGGGCGGCAGCAGCAGUGAGAGUGGGCAGCAGCAGAGUGAAAGUGGGCGGCAGCAGCAGCAGAGUGAGAGUGGGUGGCAGCAGCAGCAGCAGUGAGAGUGGGCAGCAGCAGAGUGAGAGCGGGCAGGCAGGCAGGCAGGCUGGUGGACAGGCCAGCAGGCACCCCACAGAGAGUGGGAUAGCGGGCUCCAUGAACAUCAUAAAUAACAACCUCUGCCUUGCUAGGUUCCCUCCUUCUCAUCACCUUCUAACUAACUUACAACUAACAAUACCCGAGUGCUACCCCUGCCCAGGCACACACGAGGGUGUCGCAAAGCACCUGAGGAUAGCACCUGCUCGCUAUCCCCCGGCAAUGCCUAGCCAGUGUGGCACUGAUGACUAUGUGUUGGGGUAAGCGGGGUCCUGGGUGACCCUCUCCCUGGGCAGCACCAUCUCCGUCGCCACAUGACGUCUGUGAAUCUGUUAGCAUCAUCAUCACCAUCAUCAUCAUUAUCAUCAUCAUGUUCUCCGUGGUGAUCUUGUGGAUGGGGGUGUGUUGGUAGUUUCUGGGGGGAGAGGUGUGGUGGGGGUACUAGAGCUGGUGCUGUGUGGGUAGUCGAGUGUGUAGCGGUUCAAACCUGGCUCCUCUCACCUCUAGUUCGCAACACCUUGCUCGGCUCCUCUCCCGCUGCUCCUUGCAGCAUCUACUGCAACGGAUGCUGACCUGCCUAGCCACCAGUGAAUGCAGCUACUAACCUUUCGUCAGCUCCUCUCCUGCGUCAUCUGCAUCGUCUGCAGCGUGUACUGCGUCAUCAGUCAUCGGCAUCGACUGUGAGCAUCGACUUUUUGUGCACUGCGUGGCGCUGGUUACUCCCGAUGACAUUCCAACGAAGGUUGAGUUACAGUGUCUGAGAUUAUCAUCACAAGCGACUGAGUGGGCUCUUUCAAACUCAUCUGCAACACAAAAAUUCGCUGACAUCAUCAGGACAAGUAAGAUAUCAUAGUGAUAGAGGACAGACUGACCGAAACACCGUCGUCAGUUACAUCUUUAAUUUGAGGGUAAGUGAACACGUAGAAGGUAGAAAGGCAGGACAUGACAAAAAAAAAAAGAAAGUCUAGGGAAUUAUGAAGAUAACCCAAUAAAAAUAGAACAGAGUUUAUCAGAAAUGACGGCAGAUAACACUGUGUUAUGGGUUCCUUGUUCCAUAGGUUUAAAAGUUCUGGAGUUAAUUAUUUUCCCAGGACGAGUAACGUAAGUGAACAAAUAAAAUUGAUUUUUUUGCUACGUUGUAUG